UACAGAGGGUGCAAGCGUUAAUCGGAAUGACUGGGCGUAAAGCGUGUGUAGGUGGUUAGAUAAGUUAGAUGUGAAAUCCCCGGGCUUAACCUGGGAACUGCGUUUAAAACUGUCUAGCUAGAGUACUGUAGAGGAUAGUGGAAUUUCCAGUGUAGCGGUGAAAUGCGUAGAUAUUGGAAGGAACACCAGUGGCGAAGGCGACUAUCUGGAUAGAUACUGACACUGAGACACGAAAGCGUGGGGAGCAAACAGG
This 253-nucleotide ribosomal RNA is filed under the name uncultured bacterium. RNAcentral's name for it is "partial 16S ribosomal RNA". It matches the Rfam family "Bacterial small subunit ribosomal RNA", at positions 524 to 776 of the family's 1533-position model. The record is from RNAcentral.